CGAGUAGAUUGCAGCAAGGAUGACUUGCCGGAUUUGCAAGUUGUCUUUGGCUACAUUUCGCUCCCU
This 66-nucleotide microRNA precursor is filed under the name Olea europaea subsp. europaea. Lineage: Eukaryota; Viridiplantae; Streptophyta; Magnoliopsida; Lamiales; Oleaceae. The record is from RNAcentral.